AUAUUCACUGCAAUGGGUUGCGGCGUUAUGGCCACAAUCACCUCAGACUCAAACGGCUCUACCAUUUCAGCCGGUUGCAGGCCUGAAUGUGACAACUUUUCGACAAAUGAGAAAAGAAGGGUGUUGAUUUCUGCCAGACCCCCAUCCCUUGGUUUCUCUCUGCCUUCAAUACUAGUUUCCAGGUUCAUGAUUCGACAAGUAGUUCAUGCAAUUAUGCAUUUUUGGUAGAACAGGGCUGGUUCAAGUGGUUUGCCAGAAAUUCAAUAAAUAAUUUUUCUGCCAUCCAUCAUAUGGAACAUGUUCCUGUGAUGCUACAAUGGAGCUUAUACCAUUCGACGAUCGAUGUAUUUGGAGCCGUUGUAGAAGUAAAUCCCAUAGUCGUAGAUUCUGAGUCCUCCUUUUAUUGCAGAAGUUAUGGUGGCAGAUCUUCAAUAUAUAAAUCCUCAAGCAGGCUUGAAUGUUCCUGCAAUGCGGGCUAUGAGGGAAAUCCAUAUCUUCUACAGGGAUGUCAAGACGAAAAUGAGUGCGAGAUUGGGAACUCUUGUUCUGCAGACACCGUAUGCAAGAAUCAUGUUGGGUA
Non-coding RNA from Prunus avium (sweet cherry), 580 nucleotides. The record is from RefSeq and is a predicted model, not a curated record. NCBI's taxonomy places the organism in Eukaryota, Viridiplantae, Streptophyta, Magnoliopsida, Rosales, Rosaceae.